GCAUCGGUGGUUCAGUGGUAGAAUGCUCGCCUGCCACGCGAUUCCCGGCCGAUGCA
RNAcentral lists this transfer RNA (56 nucleotides) under Dreissena polymorpha. The record is from Rfam by way of RNAcentral. Lineage: Eukaryota; Metazoa; Mollusca; Bivalvia; Myida; Dreissenidae.